This is a long non-coding RNA of Sorghum bicolor (sorghum), 947 nucleotides long. RefSeq lists it as uncharacterized. NCBI's taxonomy places the organism in Eukaryota, Viridiplantae, Streptophyta, Magnoliopsida, Poales, Poaceae. The record is from RefSeq and is a predicted model, not a curated record. The transcript has 4 exons.
AUGAAACUCGCUCCGUGGCCCUGCGAAAUCCUAUCAGUUUCCGCAACACCAUUUCCAGCCCUACCACAAAGGAGAACCACAAAGCCGCACCGCCGCCGCCGCCGCCGCGUUAAGCCAUCCACCCUAACACCGCAGUCCCGCUGCCCCGGCCCUCAUCCUCCCAUCCUCGCCCAACCCCUACUGAUGAGCCUUUUGCUCCCAUGUCGACAAGCUUCUCCAUAGUUUGCCGCCAAUGCCGCACGAGCUCCCUUGACCGUAGCCUCUCCUAUGUUGGGGCUGGUUGGGGGUGAAUCGGUGGAAAGAUACUGUCGCUUAGCAUCCUGUGAUCGUUCAUCGCCAACUCCUGCAGUCCCAUCGCGAACUACCGGAGAAAGAAGCGGCGACUCGGCAGGCGAUGCUUUUGCUGUUGUCAUCCCGCUACAGUUGUAUCUGCACGGUGGGCAGGGAUCGACAUCGCAAAGUCCACGAACACGAUCUGGCUACAAAAUGUCGAUUGGGGAGACGGACUCGCUGUUGCCGCUGAAUCCACCGCUGGACUCCUAUGCACAAGAACCACAUGGAGCUGUUCCGUAAUAAGGUAUUGUUAGUGGAAGCGGCUUCUGCUUCUUGACCCUCUUCCUGCCUUUGCCAGGUGACCAGCUGCAGGCAAGAGUUCCACCACCGGUGUGUCCUUGAGUGGAGGAAGCUUGAGGUUAAGUGGAGCACACGAGUGAUAUGAUGGUCAACAUCGAGCCAACCUUCUUUGCACUGCUAGACAUGGCUUAUUAGAUUUUGAUAUGAAGUGUGUUUGAUACCUUAUGUGUGAGUUGUGCGUGUGUCUAAGCCAAAUAUGAGAUGAUUUGUACAUAGCAUAUUUUGCAUUAAUGUUUGUCUAAAUGCUUUAUUGACCAUAUGUUUGUCUAAAUGCUUUAUUGACCAUAUAUUAUUGUUCUAAAAGUUUAUGUAUA